This 443-nucleotide ribosomal RNA is filed under the name uncultured bacterium. RNAcentral's name for it is "partial 16S ribosomal RNA". It matches the Rfam family "Bacterial small subunit ribosomal RNA", at positions 338 to 795 of the family's 1533-position model. The record is from RNAcentral.
CCUACGGGAGGCAGCAGUGGGGAAUAUUGGGCAAUGGGCGCAAGCCUGAACCAGCCACGCCGCGUGAAGGAAGAAGGCUUUCGGGUUGUAAACUUCUUUUGUCAGGGACGAAGCAAGUGACGGUACCUGACGAAUAAGCCACGGCUAACUACGUGCCAGCAGCCGCGGUAAUACGUCGGGUGCAAGCGUUAUCCGGAUUUACUGGGUGUAAAGGGCGUGUAGGCGGGACUGCAAGUCAGAUGUGAAAACCACGGGCUCAACCUGUGGCCUGCAUUUGAAACUGUAGUUCUUGAGUACUGGGGAGGCAGACGGAAUUCCUAGUGUAGCGGUGAAAUGCGUAGAUAUUAGGAGGAACACCAGUGGCGAAGGCAGUCUGCGGGACAGCAACUGACGCUGAGGCGCGAAAGCGUGGGGAGCAAACAGGAUUAGAUACCCGUGUAGUC